GGGGAAUCUUGCACAAUGGAGGAAACUCUGAUGCAGCGACGCCGCGUGAGCGAAGAAGCCUUUCGGGGUGUAAAGCUCUUACGCCAGGGACGAUAAUGACGGUACCUGGAGAAGCAGCUGCGGCUAACUACGUGCCAGCAGCCGCGGUAAUACGUAGGCAGCAAGCGUUGUUCGGAAUUACUGGGCGUAAAGGGUGCGUAGGCGGUUAUCUAAGUUUGGUGUGAAAUCUCCCGGCUUAACUGGGAGGGUGCGCUGAAGACUGGAUGACUUGAGUAUGGGAGAGGAAAGCGGAAUUCCUGGUGUAGCGGUGAAAUGCGUAGAGAUCAGGAGGAACACCUGCGGUGUAGACGGCUUUCUGGACCAAGACUGACGCUGAGGCACGAAAGCGUGGGUAGCAAAC
Molecule: ribosomal RNA, 400 nt
Filed under: uncultured bacterium
Lineage: Bacteria
Description: bacterial SSU rRNA
Rfam family: Bacterial small subunit ribosomal RNA
Source: RNAcentral